This is a non-coding RNA of Peromyscus maniculatus bairdii (prairie deer mouse), 961 nucleotides long. The record is from RefSeq and is a predicted model, not a curated record. Lineage: Eukaryota; Metazoa; Chordata; Mammalia; Rodentia; Cricetidae.
CCAACUUCCAUCUUGAUCCUGUGGUCCAGGCAGGGAACUAUAGAUGCUAUGGCUCUUUCAGGAACUCUUCCCAAUUGUGGUCAACCCCAAGUGACCCCUUGUACCUUCCUGUCACUGAUAAUCAUGGGCUCCUGUAUAUUCUGAUUAGACUGUCAUUCUACAUGAUGGUUUUCGUGCUCAUUUUCCUCAUCCAUUCUUGGUGCCAUGCAAAAAGAAAUGUACGUCAAGAAGAAGGCAGUGAGUGUCAUCUGAGUAGCAUGAGAAACUGAACCUGGAGGAAUACAGGACCCUGAAGGAAAAUAAAUGCAGAAUGUGACAUGCACAGAAUUUGAUCAGUGGAUCUUCAAACAGCAAUUUAUCAUGACCAGUUCCUCACAGCCCAAGGAAGCCUCCACAUGUAUCAGGGUGUUCAUGGGAGUUUUGAAAUUACAAGCUGAGAUCAAAGAUUGUUGGUACCCUAUGAGUUCUCAAAGAAAGAUAUCAGGAAUUCUUCUGUAAAGACCACAGCCCUUUUGGAAGCAAAAUAUGAAUAGACACAGUGAAACAAUUGCUGAAAUCAAAGGAUAGAAUUAUCUAACUUUGGUGCCAUCUGUCAUUGUUCUGAAAUGGAUCUGAAUGUGGAUUUCCUAUAUUUAAAUGCUAUGGUUCUUGCUUUUCCUUUGGAGAGAAAUCAAACUAUAAAGUGAAAUUAGACUUGAAAUGUUAAAGCCUGCUAAGGGUUCAUUUUUGUAAUUGCCUAGUCUUGAACAGCUUUAACAAAACUUCUAUGCAUGUUUCUGUAAAUUAAAGUUCGCUUUGUGCCAGAUGACCUUCUGUUUGCCUGAAGAUAGAGUGUAAUGUUAGGUACUCUGCCUUUAAAAUCCCGAUUGAGGUAUCUUGGGGCUGCCUUUGAGAGCCCCCAGUCUCAAGUAUAUAUCUGGUGUCAGUAUGUGAAUAAAUGCCUUUGCUUUCUUAAAAUUUA